RNAcentral lists this ribosomal RNA (538 nucleotides) under Phyllodactylus thompsoni. RNAcentral's name for it is "partial 16S ribosomal RNA". It matches the Rfam family "Bacterial large subunit ribosomal RNA", at positions 1809 to 2602 of the family's 2925-position model. Lineage: Eukaryota; Metazoa; Chordata; Lepidosauria; Squamata; Phyllodactylidae. The record is from RNAcentral.
AAAAACAUCGCCUUUAGCCUAACAAGUAUUAAAGGUCCCGCCUGCCCAGUGAGCCCCCUUUAACGGCCGCGGUACUCUAACCGUGCAAAGGUAGCGUAAUCACUUGCCCUCUAAAUAGGGGCUAGUAUGAAUGGCUAAAUGAGGGCCUAACUGUCUCCUAUGAUAAUCCAAUGAAACUGCUCUCUCAGUACAAAAGCUAAGAUAAACACACAAGACGAGAAGACCCUGCGGAGCUUUUAAACACCACACUAAUCCCACUACCAUAGUGCAAACUUUAAGUUGGGGCGACUGCGGAGAAAACCAAAACCCCCGUGACACAGGACUAAACCCCACCCGAGGCCUACAAGCCAAAACUACUAGUAACCCACUGACCCAGCACUGCUGACCACCGAACCAAGUUACCCCAGGGAUAACAGCGCGAUCCCCCUUAAGAGUCCAUAUCGCCAGGGGGGUUUACGACCUCGAUGUUGGAUCAAGACACCCCGGCGGUGCAGCCGCUGCUAACGGUUCGUUUGUUCAACGACUAACGUCUUACGUG